This 460-nucleotide ribosomal RNA is filed under the name uncultured bacterium. RNAcentral's name for it is "partial 16S ribosomal RNA". It matches the Rfam family "Bacterial small subunit ribosomal RNA", at positions 338 to 795 of the family's 1533-position model. The record is from RNAcentral.
CCUACGGGUGGCAGCAGUGAGGAAUAUUGGUCAAUGGACGAGAGUCUGAACCAGCCAAGUAGCGUGAAGGAUGACUGCCCUAUGGGUUGUAAACUUCUUUUAUAUGGGAAUAAAAUGUUCCACGUGUGGGAUUUUGUAUGUACCAUAUGAAUAAGGAUCGGCUAACUCCGCGCCAGCAGCCGCGGUAAUACGGAGGAUCCGAGCGUUAUCCGGUUUUAUUGGGUUUAAAGGGAGCGUAGGUGGAUUGUUAAGUCCGUUGUGAAAGUUUGCGGCCCAACCGUAAAAUUGCAGUGGAAACUGGCAGGCUUGAGUACAGUAGAGGUGAGCGGAAUUCGUGGUGUAGCGGUGAAAUGCUUAGAUAUCACGAAGAACUCCGAUUGCGAAGGCAGUUCACUGGACUGCAACUGACACUGAGGCUCGAAAGUGUGGGGAUCAAACAGGAUUAGAUACCCGAGUAGUC